RNAcentral lists this long non-coding RNA (489 nucleotides) under Struthio camelus australis. RNAcentral describes it as "lncRNA (ENSSCUG00000010065.1)". The record is from RNAcentral. Lineage: Eukaryota; Metazoa; Chordata; Aves; Struthioniformes; Struthionidae.
UUUUCUGAUCCUGUUGACUGAACAAUCAUUUGCCUGGAGAACAUGAGAUGCUUAUUGAUGGGAAGACGGAAAAACAAUGCCAUUAGAAUACUUCAACCAAACAUAUGAAGGGUCAAGAUGGAUACCAAGGUCAAGAAAAGUGUGGUGUGAAUAUCCAGCUUUUUGGUGGAAAUCAGGAAUCUGGAUAUUCUCCCUCUGAGAGAGCAUUAGAGGAUGUGAAGGAAGAGUUGAGAACUUCUGCCUGCAGCCCUUCUGUUCAUGAUGGUCCUCCUCUCUCUAGGGUUCAGCUCUGGCAUUUUCUGUGUUUGAAGCAAGAACUUGAAAUUCACGGUUCAGAUUUUGGUCAAUCUGUAGCUGGAAGCAUGUAAAAUCCUGGGGUUUAUCUUUUUCUUUUGAUACAAAACAAUAAGUUGGCUCCACUUCAUUCAUAACUAGCCUCAGGUUUAAUCAAAAGACUCAAACCUUUUGACAAAACAUGGGCUGGAUACC